RNAcentral lists this ribosomal RNA (515 nucleotides) under uncultured bacterium. RNAcentral describes it as "bacterial SSU rRNA". It matches the Rfam family "Bacterial small subunit ribosomal RNA", at positions 23 to 518 of the family's 1533-position model. The record is from RNAcentral.
CUCAGAACGAACGCUGGCGGCGUGCUUAACACAUGCAAGUCGAACGCGAAAGGGACUUCGGUCCUGAGUAAAGUGGCGCACGGGUGAGUAACGCGUAGAUAACCUGUCUUCAUGUCUGGAAUAAUACGCCGAAAGGGGUACUAAUACCGGAUAUCUUGCUUUUCAUAAGUUAUGCAAGCAAAGGUGGCCUCUGCAUAUGCUACUGCAUGAAGAGGGGUCUGCGUACCAUUAGCUAGUAGGUGGGGUAAUGGCCUACCUAGGCGACGAUGGUUAGCGGGUCUGAGAGGAUGAUCCGCCACACUGGCACUGGAACACGGGCCAGACUCCUACGGGAGGCAGCAGUGAGGAAUAUUGCGCAAUGGGGGAAACCCUGACGCAGCGACGCCGCGUGAAGUGAGGAAGGCCUUCGGGUCGUAAAGCUCUGUCAAGAGGAAAGAAGUGUACAAUGGCUAAUACCUGUUGUAUUUGACGGUACCUCUAAAGGAAGCACCGGCUAACUCCGUGCCAGCCGCGGC